GCCUCGAUAGCUCAGUUGGGACAGCGUUAGACUGAAGAUCUAAUGAUUUACUCACGGUAGAGGCA
Non-coding RNA from Angiostrongylus cantonensis (rat lungworm), 65 nucleotides. The record is from Rfam. Lineage: Eukaryota; Metazoa; Nematoda; Chromadorea; Rhabditida; Metastrongylidae.